This 259-nucleotide ribosomal RNA is filed under the name Salmonella enterica. RNAcentral describes it as "partial 16S ribosomal RNA". It matches the Rfam family "Bacterial small subunit ribosomal RNA", at positions 881 to 1140 of the family's 1533-position model. The record is from RNAcentral. Lineage: Bacteria; Pseudomonadati; Pseudomonadota; Gammaproteobacteria; Enterobacterales; Enterobacteriaceae.
UACGGCCGCAAGGUUAAAACUCAAAUGAAUUGACGGGGGCCCGCACAAGCGGUGGAGCAUGUGGUUUAAUUCGAUGCAACGCGAAGAACCUUACCUGGUCUUGACAUCCACGGAAGUUUUCAGAGAUGAGAAUGUGCCUUCGGGAACCGUGAGACAGGUGCUGCAUGGCUGUCGUCAGCUCGUGUUGUGAAAUGUUGGGUUAAGUCCCGCAACGAGCGCAACCCUUAUCCUUUGUUGCCAGCGAUUAGGUCGGGAACUC